RNAcentral lists this ribosomal RNA (473 nucleotides) under Levilactobacillus brevis. RNAcentral's name for it is "bacterial SSU rRNA". Lineage: Bacteria; Bacillati; Bacillota; Bacilli; Lactobacillales; Lactobacillaceae. The record is from RNAcentral.
GACGUGCUUGCACUGAUUUCAACAAUGAAGCGGGUGGCGAACUGGUGAGUAACACGUGGGGAAUCUGCCCAGAAGCAGGGGAUAACACUUGGAAACAGGUGCUAAUACCGUAUAACAACAAAAUCCGCAUGGRUUUUGUUUGAGAGGUGGCUUCGGCUAUCACUUCUGGAUGAUCCCGCGGCGUAUUAGUUAGUUGGUGAGGUAAAGGCCCACCAAGACGAUGAUACGUAGCCGACCUGAGAGGGUAAUCGGCCACAUUGGGACUGAGACACGGCCCAAACUCCUACGGGAGGCAGCAGUAGGGAAUCUUCCACAAUGGACGAAAGUCUGAUGGAGCAAUGCCGCGUGAGUGAAGAAGGGUUUCGGCUCGUAAAACUCUGUUGUUAAAGAAGAACACCUUUGAGAGUAACUGUUCAAGGGUUGACGGUAUUUAACCAGAAAGCCACGGCUAACUACGUGCCAGCAGCCGCGGA